ACUGCUCAGUAACACGUGGAUAACCUGCCCUUGGGACCGGCAUAACCCCGGGAAACUGGGGAUAAUUCCGGAUAACGCAUAUUUGCUGGAAUGCUUUAUGCGUCAAAAGGAUUCGUCUGCCCAAGGAUGGGUCUGCGGCCUAUCAGGUAGUAGUGGGUGUAAUGUACCUACUAGCCAGCGACGGGUACGGGUUGUGAGAGCAAGAGCCCGGAGAUGGAUUCUGAGACAUGAAUCCAGGCCCUACGGGGCGCAGCAGGCGCGAAAACUUUACAAUGCGGGAAACCGUGAUAAGGGGACACCGAGUGCCAGCAUCAUAUGCUGGCUGUCCGGAUGUGUAAAAUACAUCCGUUAGCAAGGGGCGGGCAAGACCGGUGCCAGCCGCCGCGGUAACACCGGCGGCCCGAGUGGUGAUCGUGAUUAUUGGGUCUAAAGGGUCCGUAGCCGGUUUGGUCAGUCCUCCGGGAAAUCUGAUAGCUCAACUAUUAGGCUUUCGGGGGAUACUGCCAGACUUGGAACCGGGAGAGGUAAGAGGUACUACAGGGGUAGGAGUGAAAUCUUGUAAUCCCUGUGGGACCACCUGUGGCGAAGGCGUCUUACCAGAACGGGUUCGACGGUGAGGGACGAAAGCUGGGGGCACGAACCGGAUUAGAUACCCGGGUAGUCCCAGCCGUAAACGAUGCUCGCUAGGUGUCAGGCAUGGCGCGACCGUGUCUGGUGCCGCAGGGAAGCCGUGAAGCGAGCCACCUGGGAAGUACGGCCGCAAGGCUGAAACUUAAAGGAAUUGGCGGGGGAGCAC
This 796-nucleotide ribosomal RNA is filed under the name uncultured Methanosarcina sp. RNAcentral describes it as "bacterial SSU rRNA". It matches the Rfam family "Archaeal small subunit ribosomal RNA", at positions 85 to 879 of the family's 1478-position model. Lineage: Archaea; Methanobacteriati; Methanobacteriota; Methanomicrobia; Methanosarcinales; Methanosarcinaceae. The record is from RNAcentral.